AGAGGAUACCCCUUGUGUGUUC
This 22-nucleotide microRNA is filed under the name Dasypus novemcinctus (nine-banded armadillo). RNAcentral's name for it is "dno-miR-1185-5p". Lineage: Eukaryota; Metazoa; Chordata; Mammalia; Cingulata; Dasypodidae. The record is from miRBase by way of RNAcentral.